RNAcentral lists this ribosomal RNA (119 nucleotides) under Pteropus alecto (black flying fox). RNAcentral also lists the same sequence under 1 other name. The record is from RNAcentral. Lineage: Eukaryota; Metazoa; Chordata; Mammalia; Chiroptera; Pteropodidae.
GUCUACAGCCAUGCCACCCUGAACAAGCCUGAUCCCAUCUGAUCUCAGAAGCUAAGCAGGAUCGGGCCUGGUUAGUACUUGGAUGGGAGACUACCUAGAAAGACCAGGUCAUGCAGACA